RNAcentral lists this ribosomal RNA (2890 nucleotides) under Intestinibacter bartlettii. Its description in RNAcentral is "23S ribosomal RNA". It matches the Rfam family "Bacterial large subunit ribosomal RNA". Lineage: Bacteria; Bacillati; Bacillota; Clostridia; Peptostreptococcales; Peptostreptococcaceae. The record is from RNAcentral.
GGUCAAGUUAUUAAGGGUGCAGGGCGAAUGCCUUGGCACUAGGAGCCGAUGAAGGACGUGAUAAGCUGCGAUAAGCUUCGGGGAGUUGCACGUAAAUCCUUUGAUCCGAAGAUUUCCGAAUGAGGAAACUCACUUAGAGUAAUGUCUAAGUAUCGUAUGAUGAAUACAUAGUCAUGCGAGGGGAACCCGGAGAACUGAAACAUCUAAGUACCCGGAGGAAGAGAAAGAAAUUCGAUUCCGUAAGUAGCGGCGAGCGAACGCGGAACAGGCCAAACCAGUGAAGUUUUCUUCGCUGGGGUUGCGGACACACUAUAAACGAAAUCACCCACUAUAGAAGAAGAGAGUUGAAAAGCUCCGCCACAGAUGGUAACAGCCCAGUAUUUUAAAUAGCGAGACUUCGCGUGAUCCAGAGUACCACGGGACACGUGAAACCCUGUGGGAAGCAGAGGGACCAUCCUCCAAGCCUAAAUACUACCCAGUGACCGAUAGCGCAGGUACCGUGAGGGGAAAGGUGAAAAGAACCCCGAGGGGAGUGAAAGAGAACCUGAACCCUGCACUUACAAGCUGUAGGAGCACAUUAUUUGUGUGACUGCGUACUUUAGCAGAACGGGCCAACGAGUUACGUUGUGUAGCAAGGUUACACUUAAGGUGUGGAGCCGUAGCGAAAGCGAGUCUUAAAUGGGCGUCCAGUUACCUGACGUAGACCCGAAACCAGGCGACCUAUCCAUGAGUACAGGUUGAAGGUGAAAGUAAAAUUUCGUGGAGGACCGAACCCACGUACGUUGAAAAGUGCGGGGAUGACUUGUGGAUAGCGGUGAAAUUCCAAUCGAGCCUGAGAUAGCUGGUUCUCCCCGAAAUAGCUUUAGGCUAGCCUCAAGCUUAGAGAAACGGAGGUAGAGCACUGAAUGUCCUAGGGGUAUUGCACUUACCGAAGACUAUCAAACUCCGAAUGCCGUAUUCUUUUGCUUGGGAGUCAGACUAAGGGUGAUAAGAUUCAUAGUCAAGAGGGCAACAGCCCAGAUCGUCAGUUAAGGUCCCUAAAUGUAAGUUAUGGCAAAGGAUGUGGAAUUGCACAGACAACCAGGAUGUUGGCUUAGAAGCAGCCACUCAUUUAAAGAGUGCGUAAUAGCUCACUGGUCGAGUGAUUCUGCGCCGAAAAUUUCCGGGGCUAAAACUUACUACCGAAGCUACGGCAUCAUUAAGGAUGGGUAAGCGUGGUUUCUAUGUGGCUUGAAGCAUGACCGUAAGGACAUGUGGACUGCAUAGAAGUGAGAAUGUUGGCAUGAGUAGCGAGAUGUGGGUGAGAAUCCCACAGGUCGUAAAACCCAAGGUUUCCAGGGGGAAGGUUCGUCUCUGCCCUGGGUUAGUCAGGACCUAAGCCGAGGCCGAAAGGCGUAGGUGAUGGACAACAGAGCCAGAUAUGUACCACCAAUAACCGUUUGAGAAAUGGGAUGACACAGUAGGAUAAGCUGGGCACCGCACUGUUGGUUGCGCGGGCAAGUAUUGAGGCAGUUCCGAUAGGCAAAUCCGUCGGAAUAAUGCUGGGGUACGAUGCGGAGCGAAAUUUAGUAGCGAAGUAGCUGAUUUCACACUGUCGAGAAAAAGUCUCUAUCGAGGUGCCAAAGGUGCCUGUACCGCAAACUGACACAGGUGGGUGAGGAGAGUAUCCUAAGGCCAGCGAGAGAGAACUGUUGUUAAGGAAUCCUCGGCAAAUGACCCUCGUAACUUAGGAGAAGGGGUGCCUUCGAAAGAAGGCCGCAGAGAAUAGGCCCAAGCGACUGUUUACCAAAAACAUAGGUUUCUGCUAAGUCGCAAGACGAUGUAAAAGGGGGAGCUGACGCCUGCCCGGUGCUGGAAGGUUAAGGGGAUCUGUUAGAGCAAUCGAAGCAGUGAACUUUAAGCCCCAGUAAACGGCGGCCGUAACUAUAACGGUCCUGGCAGCAAGGAAAUCUUCCUGUCGGGUAAGUUCCGACCCGCACGAAAGGCGUAAUGAUUUGGGCACUGUCUCAACAACAGACUCGGUGAAAUUGUAAUGUACUGGCAGCAUGCCGGUUACCCAGACAGGACGGAAAGAUGGAGCUUACCAGCUGACAUUGAGUCUCGGGUGCUACAUGUACAGGAUAGGUGGGAGACUAUGAAGCAUGGACGUCAGUCUGUGGAGUCAUCCUUGGGAUACCACCUUGUAGUACUGGGAUUCUAACCAGAGGCCAUGAAUCUGGUCUGGGACACUGUCAGGUGGACAGUUUGACGGGGGCGGUCGCCUCCCAAAAGUAACGGAGGCGCUCAAAGGUUCUCUAGUACGGUCGGAAAUCGUACGAAGAGUGUAAAGGCAAAAGAGAGCUUGAUUGCAAGACAUACAGGUCGAGCAAGGACGAAAGUCGGACUUAGUGAUCCGGUGGUUCCGCAUGGAAGGGCCAUCGCUCAACGGAUAAAAGCUACCCUGGGGAUAACAGGCUGAUCUCCCCAAGAGUCCACAUCGACGGGGAGGUUUGGCACCUCGAUGUCGGCUCAUCACAUCCUGGGGCUGUAGUAGGUCCUGCUGGUUGGGCUGUUCGCCCAUUAAAGUGGUACGCGAGCUGGGUUCAGAACGUCGUGAGACAGUUCGGUCCCUAUCCGUCGCAGGCGUAGGAAAUUUGAGGAGACCUGUCCUUAGUACGAGAGGACUGGGAUGGACGUACCGCUGGUGUACCAGUUGUUCUGCCAAGGGCAUGGCUGGGUAGCUAAGUACGGAAAGGAUAAGCGCUGAAAGCAUCUAAGCGCGAAGCCCACUUCCGAUAAGAUUUCCCACCGCAAGGUUAAGAUCCCAGGAAGACUACCUGGUUGAUAGGUCAGAGGUAAGUGCAGUAAUGUAUUUAGCUUACUGAUACUAAUAGAUCGAGGACUUGACCAA